UGAAAAGCAAGGGGCACAGGAGGCGAUGAGAAAAAAAAAAAUCCCCUGAGAGCAGCUUGGGAAAGGCCUUGAAUGUUCCAAACAGAGAGACUUCCUGGAAGUGAUGGGGGCACUUGGAGGAUUUUCAAUGGAGGAGGGAUGAGAUCAGAUGAAGUUCUUUGAAAGGCCACUGGCUGGCCGUGGGCAGCAACUGGAAACAUGGAGGAUACAGAGCCUCUGCCUUCCACCAGCCAGCCGCCUCCCAUCGCCCCUCCUGGAACCACAAGAGAUGCAUUCUUUACAAACAGCCUGCUCGCCAACCCAGCCCUUAUCUCAGUCUGCUUUUCAGCUUAAAAGAAGUUUCUGAAAGCCCUCUUUGGAAAACAGCCUCUCUGACUGCAAUAAUAUACAGGUCUGAUGACCAAGGAGGAUUGGUCACCCCAUAGGUGAGGGGGAAGAUUUCUGUACCAUCUUCUGCUGCUGUGGAGAGGACCGCAAUUCCUCAUCAGAAAACCUGGGCUCAGCUUUGUUCCAAGACAUGUGAGCCAGUCCGUGAGGAUGAAGAGGAUGCUUGUGGUCCAUCCAGAAUGUUUGGUUUGAAUGUGACAUGUCCCCAAAAGCUCAUGAGACAAUGAAACAAUGUUCGGAGAUGAAAUGGGUAGAUUAUAAAAGCGAAAACCUAAUCAAUGUGUUAUCCUUUCGAUGGACUGAUAAUUUGAAAGUGCUACUAUACU
This is a long non-coding RNA of Marmota monax (woodchuck), 713 nucleotides long. RefSeq lists it as uncharacterized. The transcript has 3 exons. NCBI's taxonomy places the organism in Eukaryota, Metazoa, Chordata, Mammalia, Rodentia, Sciuridae. The record is from RefSeq and is a predicted model, not a curated record.